GAUGAAGAACGUAGCGAAAUGCGAUAAGUAGUGUGAAUUGCAGAAUUCAGUGAAUCAUCGAAUCUUUGAACGCACAUUGCGCCCUUUGGUAUUCCAAAGGGCAUGCCUGUUCGAGCGUCAUUUGUACCCUCAAGCUUUGCUUGGUGUUGGGCGUCUUGUCUCUAGCUUUGCUGGAGACUCGCCUUAAAGUAAUUGGCAGCCGGCCUACUGGUUUCGGAGCGCAGCACAAGUCGCACUCUCUAUCAGCAAAGGUCUAGCAUCCACUAAGCCUUUUUUUCAACUUUUGACCUCGGAUCAGGUAGGGAUACCUGCUGAACUUAAGCAUAUCAAUAAGCGGAGGA
Molecule: unclassified non-coding RNA, 341 nt
Filed under: soil metagenome
Description: partial contains 5.8S ribosomal RNA, internal transcribed spacer 2, and large subunit ribosomal RNA
Rfam family: 5.8S ribosomal RNA (bases 1-120)
Source: RNAcentral